Molecule: ribosomal RNA, 363 nt
Filed under: uncultured bacterium
Lineage: Bacteria
Description: partial 16S ribosomal RNA
Rfam family: Bacterial small subunit ribosomal RNA
Source: RNAcentral
UGGGGAAUUUUGGACAAUGGGCGCAAGCCUGAUCCAGCCAUGCCGCGUGCGGGAAGAAGGCCUUCGGGUUGUAAACCGCUUUUGUCAGGGAAGAAAUCUUCUGAGUUAAUACCUCGGGAGGAUGACGGUACCUGAAGAAUAAGCACCGGCUAACUACGUGCCAGCAGCCGCGGUAAUACGUAGGGUGCAAGCGUUAAUCGGAAUUACUGGGCGUAAAGCGUGCGCAGGCGGUUUUGUAAGACAGAGGUGAAAUCCCCGGGCUCCAACCUGGGGAACUGCCAUUUGUCGACUGCAAGGUCUUGAGUGCGGCAGAGGGGGAUGGAAUUCCGCGUGUAGGCAGUGAAAUGCGUAGAUAUGCGGAGG